CGUUAGGCAAUCAGGUAGAGGUAGAAGUUAGGCAAGGAGGUAGAAGUUCAUUAACAGCCAACUGCCGAAUUCAGUCAGUGUAACAGCCCCGUUUUUAUUUUACUAUUUCAAAUCAGAUUUCUUCGACUGGUGUCAUCUCUCUGAAUGGUGUUCUGCAUAAACCGCAAAUAUUAGCAAAGAUUUUCUUUUGGUUUCAGCAGAGAAGUGGAAUGUGUCCAACAGCGUUUCUUUAACUUUGGGCGGCCAAAAUCUUUAAAUGAAACAAGUGAACUGGUGGCUAAAAUUUAAAAAAAGAGAAACUAAAACUUUGAAACGGCAUUGGCUGUGCACACACUAACCUCAUGUCUACUUGUAUUGCGCGCAUGUAGUUGUGUGUUUCCCCUGCCAAUAGCGGCCUCUAACAAGUUCGUUCUGCGUUGCCUUGUCUGUUGAACAUUUAUGGUAUUUCGUUAGACUAUAUUCACUUUGUAGUCAUUAAAGAAAAUCAUGUUGGAAGUAUGAAAGGCAAUGUAUCUUCUCUAGACGGUAAAAGCAUGUUUAAACCCGUUUUCAGUUAUCUUCCGUGGGCAUAUUGUGAAUAAAGGUGUAUUGAAUUCACGAAGUUCCCUCUUGACGCCUGUCAUCAGGACCUCAUCCGAGCAUGGAAACGAUUGGCAUGUGCAUGUGCCCCAAAAUAGCGUUGUUUCUGCGUCACCAUGGCAAUCUGUUUACCGUCCGCCAGAGGCGCUAGGGCCAAGUCGACCUAUUCCGAGUCAUUGGUUUAGAAGGAAAUGUACGAAUCGAGCGUCUACAAGUGCUCAUUCUGUCCAUUGAUUUGAACUUGAAUUAAAACUGACAUUCGGUCAGUUAACGGAGGUGAAAUGCAUCUGAUGUUUCUGCUCUGGGAAAGUGAAGUUGCGUUUGUGUCAGUGAGUUUAAUGUCGUUCUCGGUGACAGUGAUACGUCAGCUUAUUGUCUGCUUGUUGUCUCAUAAUGUGACGUAUAUAACAUUCUGUAUUACUGACAUCAUAUCACUCAGAAUGUUAUUUUAAUAUUCGAAUUCCAGUUAAAUGAAACCUGCCAAACCCGUGAACUUCGAAGCAGCGGCAAACCCUGAGCGCGGUUCGUGCGGUCUGUGCCUCCUCCUCUGCCGUAGUUUACUGGGGUGACGUAUCAAAACUAAUAGUACACUAAUGAGUCUGGUUGGUGGAAAAUGUUUUAGUGUAUUUUGUAAUGCAUCAUGGGAUCUUUCCAAAAUGAUCAAACUACAAAAGAGUGCUUAAUCUAGCUGCAUGAACACGUGAAUAUAUUAUAAUUUUUUUUUACCGGAGUUAAAUUGUCGGGAUUGUCCGGAACUGGAGGCAAAAUUUGCCUUGCCGUCCCGUCACUGUGCGUGGUGUUUCCCACAUCGACUCCCCCGACUCAAGCCGGCGUUCAGUAUCGCUUCUCGGCCUUUUGGCUAAGAUCAAGUGUAGUAUCUGUUCUUAUCAGUUUAAUAUCUGAUACGUCCCCUAUCUGGGGACCAUAUAUUAAAUUGAUUUUUGGAACAGGGAGAUGGAAUAGGGGCUUGCUCCGUCCACUCCACGCAUCGACCUGGUAUUGCAGUACAUCCAGGAACGGUGCAC
Long non-coding RNA from Anguilla anguilla (European eel), 1604 nucleotides. RefSeq lists it as uncharacterized. The record is from RefSeq and is a predicted model, not a curated record. Lineage: Eukaryota; Metazoa; Chordata; Actinopteri; Anguilliformes; Anguillidae. The transcript has 2 exons.